This is a non-coding RNA of Linepithema humile (Argentine ant), 640 nucleotides long. The record is from RefSeq and is a predicted model, not a curated record. NCBI's taxonomy places the organism in Eukaryota, Metazoa, Arthropoda, Insecta, Hymenoptera, Formicidae.
AAUACAUUUUAAUUAUCAAAUUAAAAAUUUUGAAUAUUUUGCAAAAAUUUACCAUUGUAGAUAAGUUGUUGGGUACGCAUCGAUAUAAACAACCCUAUCAUUUCCGCCCCCAAAUAUAACGUGGAGUUUUUGGAAAUGUCCUAAUUAUCCAUCAUUUGAAAAUUCAACAAUUGUGCAACUGACAAUGGAGUAGAUGCUUUCGGUAUUAUCAAACCAAAAGAGCCGAUAACAGCAGGUGAUAAUGUAGAAUUAACAUGUGCUGCUUCCAUUUAUAAUUAUACACAUGAUCUUACAUGGACAAACCAGACUCAAGCGCCAUUUGUAAAAACAGAAAGACUAAAUAUUAUACAACAUAAAACUUCAUUCACCUAUCGAUCAACUAUAAAAAUUAAUAAUGUGCAAAAAUCAGAUGCUCAGAAUUAUAUUUGUAAUGGGAAAUCCAGGGAUAUGAUAUCAAACACUUUUUCGGAAAUAAAAUAUAAAUUGGUUGUGCAUGAUCCUUUACGACCAUAUUUUAACAAAACUAAUAUGAAUGGAACCAAAGUGAGACAUAUUGAUUUGAUUGCGGGGAUAAAGUUCCGAAUAGAUGAAACGCCCGAUUUUUUUGAAACUGCACUAUUUUAUGUAUUUUGGCGCGCUG